This 546-nucleotide ribosomal RNA is filed under the name uncultured bacterium. RNAcentral's name for it is "bacterial SSU rRNA". It matches the Rfam family "Bacterial small subunit ribosomal RNA", at positions 777 to 1318 of the family's 1533-position model. The record is from RNAcentral.
AAUAGAUACCCGGGUAGUCCUAGCCGUAAACGUUGGGUGCUAGGUGUGGGCGGAUAUCGACCCCGUCCGUGCCGAAGCUAACGCAUUAAGCACCCCGCCUGGGGAGUACGGCCGCAAGGCUAAAACUCAAAGGGAAUUGACGGGGCCCCGCACAAGCGGCGGAGCAUGCUGCUUAAUUCGAUGCAACGCGAAGAACCUUACCUGGGUUUGACAUGCAGGGUGAAACCCGUGAAAGCGGGCGCUCUUCGGAGCCUGCACAGGUGGUGCAUGGCUGUCGUCAGCUCGUGCCGUGAGGUGUUGCCUUAAGUGGCGCAACGAGCGCAACCCCUGUCCUUAGUUGCCAGCGGGUCAUGCCGGGAACUCUAGGGGAGACUGCCGGUGCCAAACCGGAGGAAGGUGGGGAUGACGGUCAAGUCAGCAUGCCCCUUAUACCCAGGGCUGCAAGCAUGCUACAAUGCGCGAUACAAAGGGCUGCGAUCCCGGUAAGGGGGAGCGAAUCCCAAAAACGUCGCGCUCAGUUCGGAUCGAGGUCUGCAACCCGUACCG